GGCAGGUCCCAUGAGACCAUGCAUUGGCAAGGACAGGAAGAGCGGAAAAGGCCCAGAGGAAGCUGCUCCAGCUGUGACCUCGGAGCAGUUGAAGAGGCAGGAGUGGCUCAGGCUAGGAGGUGGGAAGAGAACUGGGUCAUCUUCCUCUGAACUCCUCAAGCUCCCAGAGCUCUUAACCUGAUUGCAGUACUGUCCCGUCUUGUACUUUGGCUGUAUUUGGUCUUACUUCCCAGUUAAUUUUCCUAGACCGGAAGUCCUGUGUUGGGUCCCUUUCUCCUUUUUGCAUUCAGUACCUCCUGGACCCUACACUCACCAAGAGAAGAGACCCUGUUUCAGAAUCUUGCCCACAAUCUGGCCAGAAUGCUUCACACCUUAAUGACAAGAGAUGGGGUCUCACUAUGCUGCCCAGACUGGUCUUGAACUCCUGACCUCGAGUGAUCCUCCCACUCCAGCCUUCUAAAGUACUGAGAUUCCAGGUGUGAGCUACCAUGCCAAGCCAUGAUAUUGUUUUUCUGAAUGAAUGAAUGAAUGAAUGAAUGCCUAAUGAAGUCAGAUGGAGACCAGAUCAGGGAAGAGAAAGGAGUUCUCAUUGGUUCUCCAGCAAAGAAAUCACUGUGGCUUUGACUCCACUGCAGCCUUGUUUUCCCAGGAGGAUGUCAAGUCUAGCUCAUAUUGGGAGAGCCAAGAGAUGGAGGGAGGGAGACAGCCAGUGUUUGUGCAUCCAUCCACAUCAGAGGAAAUGCCCUUGACAGGGUCAAACUGGUGCCUGUUGGGCAUGGCCUUGGGUACUUGUCAUUCCCAAGGCAUUCCCAUGAAUCAGAAGCAGGGAUGCAGGGAAAGGCACUUAUCUCAGACGCUAGGGAUGGAGGGAAAGACUCGUCUCUGAGGCUAGAGGAUGGAGGGAAGGGGAGGGGAGCACUGUGGCCAGAGACAGCACCUAGGCUGACUAAUUAAACCCUUUGGUAUCUGGCCCCCUCCAGCACAAGCAGAUUAUCACUGCUGAAUCAGCUUCCUGCCAAAACCAGACUCACACUCUUUUUUUUUUUCCUGCUUGAUUUGCUUAAUGGAAGCUGACAGUGAAGUUCAACCCUGAUUGUCAGAUUUCAGUAGGAACCUCAAGAGGGGAGAAGAAGGCAGACAUUUGAGGAAUAAAAAUAGCACACAUAAUGAGAUCCUUUAUUUAGCUAAACCACUUAUUUAAUAUUUCACCCAUCUCUCACACACACACACACACACACACACACACAACACACAGAGAAUUGUGCACACAAACAUCUGAUUUUCACUUAGUCCCCAGAGUCCUGUGGGGAAGACAGGACAUGCAUCUUGGAUAGUAGGAAUCUGCAAAAGGGAUGUCCCUUUUUUUUUUUUUUUUUUUUUCGAUGGCGUCUUGCUCUGUCUCCUAGGCUGGAGUGCAGUGGCAUGAUCUCGGCUCACUGCAACCUCCACCUCUGGGUUAAAGCGAUUCUCCUGCCUCAGUCUCCUGAGUAGCUGGGAUUACAGGCGUGCACCACACCCGGCUAAUUUUUUUGUGUUUUUAGUAGAAACAGGGUUUUGUCAUGUUGGCCAGGCUGGUCUUAAACACCUGACCUCAAGUCAUCCGCCUGUCUUGGCCUCCCGAAGUGCUGGGAUUACAGGCAUGAGCCACCACGCCCGGCUGGGAUGUCCUUUAAUGCUGAAGCUGAGAACAUCCCCCAGCAUUCUUCCAACUGGCCUCCCUGCUCCCCACUCUCUUUCAAUAGAUCCAUUUUCCAAAGGGUGGCCUGGGACACUGGUCUGGAUGGCAAAAUUAAAUACAUAGGGGAGUAGUGCCUGUGACCUUGGAUAGACCCUUGACAUUCUGUGUUCCUCAUUCAGUAAGAUGAGGCCUGGAGGGUUUGGUUUAUUUCCUGAAGCCUGAGCGGCUCAUCAGAGACAGCUGCAGUAGAACUCACCUCUUCGAUGUGAGAAGGAAAUAAGCUGGCAUAGGUAAAGCCUCUCUCUACGCCCUGUCAUGUGGUAUAGGGACUAUACAUGUCAGCUCCUUUCUUGCUUUGAAGUGUUAAGUUUUUGUGACUUUACAGGGAGUUUCCCAGUAUUUCUAAGUGUCAGAGUUGAAGCUCUAGCUCUAAAAAGGAAGCUUGGAAUCUAAGCAUGGAGGCUAACAUCAUUAAGUGCCACAUGUCAUGCACUGUACCCCUUAAAAAACAGGGUUUGUAUAAUCCCAGCACUUUGGGAGGCCGAGGCGGGUGGAUCACGAGGUCAAGAGAUUGAGAUCAUCCUAGUCAACAAGGUGAAACCCCAUCUCUACUAAAAAUACAAAAAUUAGCUGGGCAUGGUGGCGCAUGCCUGUAGUCCCAGUUACUCGGGAGGCUGAGGCAGGAGAAUUGCUUGAACCCAGGAGGAGGAGGUUGCGGUGAGCUGAGAUCCCGCCAUUGCACUCCAGCCUGGGUAACAAGAGCAAAACUCUGUCUCAAAAUACAGAAAACAACAGGGUUUGUGGGCUCACGCCUGUAAUCCCAACACUAUGGGAGGCCGAGGUGGGUGAAUCACAAGGUCAGGAGAUGAAGACCAGCCUGGCUAUCAUGGUGAAACUCCAUCUCUACUAGAAAUACAGAAAAUUAGUUGGGUGUGGUGGCAUGCACCUGUAGACCCAGCUAUUCGGGAGGCUGAGGCAGGAGAAUCGCUUGAACCCAGGAGGUGGAGGCUGCAGUAGGCUGAGAUCAGGCCACUGCACUCCAGCCCGGGUGAUAGAGUGAGAUUCUAUCUCAAAAAAAAAAAAAAAAAAAACAGGGUUUGUUUGCCUGGCCAGUAACAAACAGCUCUCCAGGAAAACACAGGUUUGAUCAAUAGGAGUUUUAUCACUUGUGACAAAAAAGGACACUGGGAGUGUUCUCCAAAGCAGUGUCUCCCAAGGGAAACUGACAGGAGGGUUUUAUGGGGUGAUGGAGGGUGGAGUGUUCGUCAUCACAAGCAGAGGAGGGGUCCCAAUGGUGCAGGUGCGAAAUCCGUCAUGCCAGCACAUAGGUCGCAUGUGAUGGCAGCAGAGCUAUGACACCUCCCGGGGUGAAGACUUCAGCAUGGUCACAGGGAACGUUCACUCAGGUUUAUGUCUAAGUUGCUGGGGUCUGUCAGAGCUGUUUUGUUGUUGUUGCUGCUGCUGCUGCUGUGUUUCUGAGAUACAGUCUCACUGUAUUACCCAGGCUGAAGUGCAGCGGCUCACUGCAACUUCCAUCUCUUGGGUUCCUCCUGCCUCAGCCUCCCAAGUAGCUGGAAUUACAUGCGUGCACCACGACACCCAGCUGAUUUUUGUAUUUUUAGUUGAGAUAGGGUCUGGCCAUGUUGGCCAGGCUGGUCUCAAACUCCGGACCUCAAGUGAUCCGCCCACCUCAGCCUCCCAAAGGGAUUACCGGCAAGAGCCACCGCGCUGGGCCCAAGAGCUGGUUCUAACCAACCAGGUCACUGCAUUCUACACAGAGUUUAGGAGUGCAGGAGGCUGUGAAACAGGCUGAUUGCUCAGGUUGACUGAAGUCCCUGGAGACCCUCCCUGUCUCCUUACAGUACUAUCAGUAUCUAAGGGCUUAACAGGUAUUAAUUUGGGUGAACCUCAUCACAGCCCUGUGAGAUGCAGAGUCUUGUCCCACCUUACAGAUGAUGCAACUGAGGCACAGAAGAGUUAAGUACCUUGCUGCAAGUUGUCACGGUGAGUCUGUGCUGAACCUCCGCUCCACACUUCUGACACCAAACGUGUGUGAGUUUUCCACAUCCAGCAAUUCUCCAGUUCUCUGUGUAUGGGAAGCAGAAAAAUUCCUUUUUAAAGUCCCCUUUCUUCUUUAAGUGAGCUGAUAACUUUGUUAAGCCCUAUCCUAUGUAGGUGUGAGACACGCCAUGCAUACAGGCACGUAGUACAUUCUACAUCCUUGUACUUUAACCAAGAUGUCUGUGCUGGACCUGCUCACGGGCAUGUCCCCGCUCUCUCCAUUGCUUUUACCUGUUUUAAGGUAGAAAAGUUUAAUAGAAAAGUUUUAAGUUGUUAGCCAGUCGGGUUUUAGUUUAGACUGUGAGGUCUGGCUCCAACCAACGGAGAUCAGAUACAGCAGUAAGGACGACCCCAAAUGCAUAAGGAAUAAAUUUGUGUUUUCCUUUGUUCAUUGUAAUCUCAUGGCACAAUAGCUAGCAAGGGUGCCCUUCCCACAGCCCAGCAAGUACAAAUUGCGUUGCUGGAAGAUCCUUUGUCUCAGUGCUGACUUUUUCCUUGUGGCACCAAGCACCUAUUUCCAACCCUGUGGAUACCAGUUUGGUGGUUCACAUGUGUUUACUGCAUUUGUUGAUUUAUGAUAAAAGAUUUAUUUCAUUAUUUUAUUUCAGUUGCUUUAGAGAGCGGGUGGUUUCUGGUUACAUGGAUAAAUUGUUUAAGUUCUGGGAUACAUGUGCGGAACGUGCAGACCUGUUACGUAGGUAUACCUGUGCUGUCGUGGUGGCUUGUGGCACCGACCAACCCAUCAUCUAGGUUUUAAGCCCCACAUGCAUUAGGUAUUUGUCCUAAUGCUCUCCCUUCCUUUGCCCCCUACCUCCUGACAGGCCCCCCGUGUCUGAUGUUCCCCUCCGUGUCGUGUGCUCUCACUGUUCAACUCCCACUUAUGAGUGAGAGCAUGUGGUGUUUGAUUUUCUGUUCCUGUGUUAGUUUGCUGAGAAUGACAGCUUCCAGGUUCAUCCAUGUCCCUGCAAAGGACAUUAACCCGUUCUUUUUUAUGGCUGCAAUGGAUAAAUUCUUCAGUGGUGACUUCUGAGACUUUGAUGCCCCCAUCAACUGAGUAG
Non-coding RNA from Callithrix jacchus (white-tufted-ear marmoset), 4797 nucleotides. The record is from RefSeq and is a predicted model, not a curated record. Lineage: Eukaryota; Metazoa; Chordata; Mammalia; Primates; Cebidae.